Molecule: ribosomal RNA, 984 nt
Filed under: Philometra sp. S.G.Wu 060201 (CAS)
Lineage: Eukaryota; Metazoa; Nematoda; Chromadorea; Rhabditida; Philometridae
Description: bacterial SSU rRNA
Rfam family: Eukaryotic small subunit ribosomal RNA
Source: RNAcentral
AAAGAUUAAGCCAUGCAUGUCUAAGUUCAUAUUGCCUUUAAUGGUGAAACCGCGAACGGCUCAUUACAACAGCUAUUAUUUACUUGAUUUUGAUUCCAUACGUGGAUAACUGUGGCAAUUCUAGAGCUAAUACAUGCACCAAAGCUCCGACUAUCAUUUUGACGAGCGCAUCUAUUAGAUUAAAAACCAAUCGGGACUGUGUGUAGCGUGAUGACACGAGACUAUUGUUUUCUCCCAUCACGCGCCUUGUCUCGUUCAUUUGGUGACUCUGAAUAGCUUAGCUGAUCACAUGGUCUCGUACCGGCGACGUAUCUAUCAAGUAUCUGCCUUAUCAACUUUCGAUGGUAGUUUAUAUGACUACCAUGGUUGUAACGGGUAACGGAGAAUAAGGGUUCGACUCCGGAGAGGGAGCCUGAGAAACGGCUACCACUUCCAAGGAAGGCAGCAGGCGCGCAAAUUACCCACUCUCAGCACAGAGGAGGUAGUGACGAAAAAUAACGAGACCGUACUCGAUGAGGCCGGUUAUCGGAAUGGGUACAAUUUAAACCCGUUAACGAGGAUCUAUGAGAGGGCAAGUCUGGUGCCAGCAGCCGCGGUAAUUCCAGCUCUCAAAGUGUAUAUCGGCAUUGCUGCGGUUAAAAAGCUCGUAGUUGGACUUCAGCCUUACGACGUGGUCCAUUCAUUGAAUGCGAACUACGCCUCGUAGGCUAGUUGCUAAUGUUGGUUUUUCCUUACGUCGCUCUUAUCGGUUGCGUAAGGUGGCUAACGAGUUUACCUUGAAAAAAUUAGAGUGCUCAACGCGGGCUAACGCGCCUGAAUACUCGUGCAUGGAAUAAUGGAAUAGGAUCUCGGUUCUAUUUUGUUGGUUUUCUGAUCUGAGAUAAUGGUUAAGAGGGACAGACGGGGGCAUUCGUAUCGCUGCGUGAGAGGUGAAAUUCUUGGACCGUAGCGAGACGUCCCACUGCAAAGCAUUUGCCAAGAAUG